RNAcentral lists this ribosomal RNA (507 nucleotides) under uncultured Glomus. RNAcentral's name for it is "SSU rRNA". It matches the Rfam family "Eukaryotic small subunit ribosomal RNA", at positions 569 to 1078 of the family's 1831-position model. Lineage: Eukaryota; Fungi; Glomeromycota; Glomeromycetes; Glomerales; Glomeraceae. The record is from RNAcentral.
AGCAGCCGCGGUAAUUCCAGCUCCAAUAGCGUAUAUUAAAGUUGUUGCAGUUAAAAAGCUCGUAGUUGAAUUUCGGGACUAAUAUGUCGGUCGUGCUUCGGUACGUACUUGCAUUAUUGGUUUCUCCCUUCUGACGAACCAUGAUGUCAUUAAUUUGGUGUCUUGGGGAAUCAGGACUGUUACUUUGAAAAAAUUAGAGUGUUUAAAGCAGGCUCACGCUUGAAUACAUUAGCAUGGAAUAAUGAAAUAGGACGUUUGAUUCUAUUUUGUUGGUUUCUAGGAUCGACGUAAUGAUUAAUAGGGAUAGUUGGGGGCAUUAGUAUUCAAUUGUCAGAGGUGAAAUUCUUGGAUUUAUUGAAGACUAACUACUGCGAAAGCAUUUGCCAAGGAUGUUUUCAUUAAUCAAGAACGAAAGUUAGGGGACCGAAGACGAUCAGAUACCGUCGUAGUCUUAACCAUAAACUAUGCCGACUAGGGAUCGGAUGAUGUUAAUUUUUUAAUGACUCA